This 253-nucleotide ribosomal RNA is filed under the name uncultured bacterium. RNAcentral describes it as "partial 16S ribosomal RNA". It matches the Rfam family "Bacterial small subunit ribosomal RNA", at positions 524 to 776 of the family's 1533-position model. The record is from RNAcentral.
UACGGAGGGCGCGAGCGUUACCCGGAUUUACUGGGCGUAAAGGGCGUGUAGGCGGUCUGGGGCGUCCCAUGUGAAAGGCCACGGCUCAACCGUGGAGGAGCGUGGGAUGCGCUCAGGCUAGACGGUGGGAGAGGGUGGUGGAAUUCCCGGAGUAGCGGUGAAAUGCGCAGAUACCGGGAGGAACGCCGAUGGCGAAGGCAGCCACCUGGUCCACAUGUGACGCUGAGGCGCGAAAGCGUGGGGAGCAAACCGG